Molecule: ribosomal RNA, 490 nt
Filed under: uncultured bacterium
Lineage: Bacteria
Description: partial 16S ribosomal RNA
Rfam family: Bacterial small subunit ribosomal RNA
Source: RNAcentral
AUUGAACGCUGGCGGCAGGCCUAACACAUGCAAGUCGAAUGGUAACAGGAAACAGCUUGCUGUUUCGCUGACGAGUGGCGGACGGGUGAGUAAUGUCUGGGAAACUGCCUGAUGGAGGGGGAUAACUACUGGAAACGGUAGCUAAUACCGCAUAACGUCGCAAGACCAAAGAGGGGGACCUUCGGGCCUCUUGCCAUCAGAUGUGCCCAGAUGGGAUUAGCUAGUAGGUGGGGUAACGGCUCACCUAGGCGACGAUCCCUAGCUGGUCUGAGAGGAUGACCAGCCACACUGGAACUGAGACACGGUCCAGACUCCUACAGGAGGAAGCAGUGGGGAAUAUUGCACAAUGGGCGAAAGCCUGAUGCAGCCAUGCCGCGUGUAUGAAGAAGGCCUUCGGGUUGUAAAGUACUUUCGGCGGGGAGGAAGGGAGUAAAGUUAAUACCUUUGCUCAUUGACGGUACCCGCAGAAGAAGCACCGGCUAACUCCGUG